Oryzias melastigma (Indian medaka) is the source of this 251-nucleotide long non-coding RNA. RefSeq lists it as uncharacterized. The transcript is spliced from 2 exons. The record is from RefSeq and is a predicted model, not a curated record. NCBI's taxonomy places the organism in Eukaryota, Metazoa, Chordata, Actinopteri, Beloniformes, Adrianichthyidae.
CUGGUCCUGGAGCUGCGUGUUGAUCUCUGUCAGCUCCUCGUUGGCUUGAUCCUCCGGUUGAGCCUGCAAAAACAUCAUAAAGAAUACAAACAAAUCCUUUAGGAGUCUGAUCUGAACCAGGUGCUGCCUGACAGCCUCCUGCAGGUGUAGGAUGCUGCUCCGCUGCUCCUCCGGGUUGCUUGAGAUUUCCAGCUGGAAACGCACACGCUGCUUUUUCUCGCUGUGUUCCUGAGGAAAAAAAAAAAAAAAGA